Ostrea edulis (European flat oyster) is the source of this 564-nucleotide long non-coding RNA. RefSeq lists it as uncharacterized. The record is from RefSeq and is a predicted model, not a curated record. Lineage: Eukaryota; Metazoa; Mollusca; Bivalvia; Ostreida; Ostreidae. The transcript has 4 exons.
AGACUCUCAAGAUUUCUAGCCCUGAAGUUACAAAAUUAACACAAGACGAGUAGUUAAUCCAAGGGUAAUUUACUGCUGGUGAGGAGGAGUUUCUUGGAAUUUGAGUUUAGAACAUGGAAAAGAAAGUACAUGAAAUGGUGGAAGUGAGGUUGAUGAGGAUGAUACAAACCUGAUGCUAUCAAUUCUGAAAAUGUCACAAUUAAAGUUUCGAUGUCUCUGAUAGAGGAUCACUUGUUCUAUUUCUGACAGGGAUGGGUCCUUAUCAAAUUUUUAAAAAAGAUGUUGAUGAAAGAUCAAACAGGAUACAUUGACAAGAAUACUAACAGUCUGUGAGGAGAGCAGCUGCCCUUUGCCCAGUAGACUAUCUUUUGCCUCAGGUUUGGUACACACACGAUUGUGGAGGAAUUAUUCCAAAAGGAUCAUCAUGAUCAAAAUGCAAACAGACUCGGGUAAACUGUUUCUUAAGCAACCAUAAGCAAACUAAUCUAUAAAAUCAAAUAUUUGAUUUUCAAUCCAUUUGGUAUCUGUUCAAUUUUCAAAGGCACAGUAUUAAUAAUUGAUUAA